UUCAUAUACCACAUAUUUGAUAAGAAAAAAAAAUAAUAAUAAAGUAUAUAUAGUGGAGGGAUGAAGAGCAGAAUUUUCUAUAUAUUCAUAUAUCAAUAUUUGGAGAUCCCACCACAGCAUUGAGCAAUAAAAAUUAGAUCCCCACCUCUUGACUUCGUCUGGCCUGUAUUCACCUGCGGGCAACGUCUUUUUCCCUACACCAUCGGUGUAAAAAAUUAUCAUAUCAUUGUCCUUUGGUUGAAAAUGGGUCCAAUAUUAACUAAUCUGAUAUAUUUUCCUGUGCUAGUACUUUUGUUCUUUCUGGUUGGCAGCCGGUAGCUAGCAGGCCUGGCCUGCAAAAAGCUCGAAAGUCGACAAGACCUCUGCAAACUCUUUAGUCCACACAUGGCUUACAGUAUAACAGUAGUCAUGCUGCAUGCAUGGAUCAGCUGGAAGAAACUUUUGCUUUAUGCUUUUUUUUCUUUUCUUUUUACUAUAAGAGAUCUAGAUGUUGAUGGAUGCUUAGGAAGCAAAGAAAGCGAUGUUGGUGUGGUUCAAUCCGAUGACGGAUUUACGUGUGAAAGUCGUAAAAGACGAUCUCAGAUUGAGCCGCGCCAAUAUCACUUUCAAUAUCGAUCAUGAAUUCCUAUAUCCCUUUCUUCUCUUCUCUCCCUUUAGUUUCUUUCGACAACUUGGUUAAUUUAAUAAGCUGAUAUUAUUCAGUCUUUCAUUUUUCUUAAUAUAUAAGCCAUGUGUUUUGUCAAACCUCUCAGCUUCUUACAGCUAGCAGUUAGUAUUUCUGUCGGAAAAUUCGACGAUUUUGUACCAUAUUUAUUGAGGUCGCAGUACUACAACUGAAGAAUUGGCCAAGGAAAAGUCACAGGAGACAAACAAUCACAAUUUUUGACUAAGGGAUUGAGGGCUGCACCAGCUAAUCUUGACAUUGGAGGGGCUUCAACAGCUAUCUUGGACCAGCAGCUUUCUCUUGGUGGGUGAGAUCGGCUGCACGGUCGGAUUUACAUGGGUGGAUUUCAACCUAGCUAGCAUUUAAUAUUGCUGUUUUCUGGCUCCAAGCUGUAGUAGUACUUCCGUUUCAAAGAAAAAAGAGUUGUUUGUUGCAAGGACGGCAACAAUAGCGGAGCUGAAAGAGGCGGUGGAAGAUGUUUUCGGUCAUUCACCAGAUCAGGAUAGAGAAGACGCUACGAUUUCUUGGUGUCUUGUAUGGAGUCAUUUUUGCUUAUGCUACAAAGGUCGGAAACUAGUUGAUGAUAAAGCAUAUAUCCGACUGUAUGGAAUCAAAGAUGAGGAUCAGCUUUAUUUUGUUCGGCAUCUUUCAAUUAAUGGCCAAGAAGACUUCAGGUAGAUCAUGUAGCUAGCUAGGAUCGAUGCAUGGAUCGAUCUUGCUGAUCAUUCACUUGAUCAUAUAUAUAUAUAUAUAUAUGGAAGAUCAUCAAGGCCGCUAGCUAGGGCCGGGCGAAGCUGCAUGCAGUACGUACACAUGCGCCUACGUACCAAGCUGGACUUGAAAGCUUUAUUCUUGAAGAUGCUAGCUGGAAGUUACAUUUUUUUUGGGAAGAGCUUUAUUAUAUAUA
This is a long non-coding RNA of Juglans microcarpa x Juglans regia, 1571 nucleotides long. RefSeq lists it as uncharacterized. The record is from RefSeq and is a predicted model, not a curated record. NCBI's taxonomy places the organism in Eukaryota, Viridiplantae, Streptophyta, Magnoliopsida, Fagales, Juglandaceae. The transcript has 5 exons.